RNAcentral lists this ribosomal RNA (1223 nucleotides) under Salmonella enterica. Its description in RNAcentral is "partial 23S ribosomal RNA". It matches the Rfam family "Bacterial large subunit ribosomal RNA", at positions 1209 to 2405 of the family's 2925-position model. The record is from RNAcentral. Lineage: Bacteria; Pseudomonadati; Pseudomonadota; Gammaproteobacteria; Enterobacterales; Enterobacteriaceae.
CGAGUUGGCUUAGGGAUACGUUCGUUGGGUAGGGGAGCGUUCUGUAAGCCUGUGAAGGUGUGUCGUGAGGCAUGCUGGAGGUAUCAGAAGUGCGAAUGCUGACAUAAGUAACGAUAAAGCGGGUGAAAAGCCCGCUCGCCGGAAGACCAAGGGUUCCUGUCCAACGUUAAUCGGGGCAGGGUGAGUCGACCCCUAAGGCGAGGCCGAAAGGCGUAGUCGAUGGGAAACGGGUUAAUAUUCCCGUACUUGGUGUUACUGCGAAGGGGGGACGGAGAAGGCUAUGUUGGCCGGGCGACGGUUGUCCCGGUUUAAGCGUGUAGGUGUGUGUUCCAGGUAAAUCCGGUUCACUUUAACACUGAGGCGUGACGACGAGGCACUACGGUGCUGAAGCAACAAAUGCCCUGCUUCCAGGAAAAGCCUCUAAGCAUCAGGUAACAUCAAAUCGUACCCCAAACCGACACAGGUGGUCAGGUAGAGAAUACCAAGGCGCUUGAGAGAACUCGGGUGAAGGAACUAGGCAAAAUGGUGCCGUAACUUCGGGAGAAGGCACGCUGACACGUAGGUGAAGUGAUUUACUCAUGGAGCUGAAGUCAGUCGAAGAUACCAGCUGGCUGCAACUGUUUAUUAAAAACACAGCACUGUGCAAACACGAAAGUGGACGUAUACGGUGUGACGCCUGCCCGGUGCCGGAAGGUUAAUUGAUGGGGUCAGCGCAAGCGAAGCUCCUGAUCGAAGCCCCGGUAAACGGCGGCCGUAACUAUAACGGUCCUAAGGUAGCGAAAUUCCUUGUCGGGUAAGUUCCGACCUGCACGAAUGGCGUAAUGAUGGCCAGGCUGUCUCCACCCGAGACUCAGUGAAAUUGAACUCGCUGUGAAGAUGCAGUGUACCCGCGGCAAGACGGAAAGACCCCGUGAACCUUUACUAUAGCUUGACACUGAACAUUGAGCCUUGAUGUGUAGGAUAGGUGGGAGGCUUUGAAGUGUGGACGCCAGUCUGCAUGGAGCCGACCUUGAAAUACCACCCUUUAAUGUUUGAUGUUCUAACGUGGACCCGUAAUCCGGGUUGCGGACAGUGUCUGGUGGGUAGUUUGACUGGGGCGGUCUCCUCCUAAAGAGUAACGGAGGAGCACGAAGGUUGGCUAAUCCUGGUCGGACAUCAGGAGGUUAGUGCAAUGGCAUAAGCCAGCUUGACUGCGAGCGUGACGGCGCGAGCAGGUGCGAAAG